CCGUCUGCUCGGGGAUAGGCUGGGCAUUGGUCAGCGGGUGCCCUGGGCCCAAUGUGGUUGGCACAACUGGAAUCGGUGGUAGCAUGGAAAUACUGCCAGUCACAGAAGGGGAUCUGGCCCUGUUGAAGAACCAAGGACAGAAUACUCAACUCCAACACAGUCAGAAGCAAUCUGAAGAAACACAAGAGGUACAGAUAUCUAGAAUCUGGAAAAGAUCAUGUCUCACAGGCAUUUCAUGGGAAGAGGGUGUAAGUACUUCUUUGUCCUACACAUGUAACUCCAGCGGGCUAUUGGCCUUGCUCUCCAGAUAGAAGGGAUCCAUUGCCUUUAAAUUGUAACAUCAUGGAGCAAUUAAAGAGAAAAAGUCUCUA
Cygnus olor (mute swan) is the source of this 371-nucleotide long non-coding RNA. RefSeq lists it as uncharacterized. Lineage: Eukaryota; Metazoa; Chordata; Aves; Anseriformes; Anatidae. The record is from RefSeq and is a predicted model, not a curated record. The transcript is spliced from 3 exons.